RNAcentral lists this ribosomal RNA (402 nucleotides) under uncultured bacterium. RNAcentral describes it as "bacterial SSU rRNA". It matches the Rfam family "Bacterial small subunit ribosomal RNA", at positions 362 to 758 of the family's 1533-position model. The record is from RNAcentral.
UAUUGGACAAUGGGCGCAAGCCUGAUCCAGCAAUACCGCGUGUGUGAAGAAGGCCUUAGGGUUGUAAAGCACUUUCAAUUGGGAGGAAAACCUGCCGGUCAAUACCCGGUAGCUUGACAUUACCUUUAGAAGAAGCACCGGCUAACUCCGUGCCAGCAGCCGCGGUAAUACGGAGGGUGCGAGCGUUAAUCGGAAUUACUGGGCGUAAAGCGUGCGUAGGCGGUUCGCUAAGUCAGAUGUGAAAGCCCUGGGCUCAACCUGGGAACUGCAUUUGAAACUGGCGGACUAGAGUUUAGUAGAGGGGAGUGGAAUUUCAGGUGUAGCGGUGAAAUGCGUAGAUAUCUGAAGGAACACCAGUGGCGAAGGCGACUCCCUGGACUAGAACUGACGCUGAGUACGAAA